AUUGGACGCUGGCGGCAUGCCUUACACAUGCAAAUCGAACGGUAACGGGCCUUCGGGUGCCGACGAGUGGCGAACGGGUGAGUAAUACAUCGGAACGUGCCCGAUCGUGGGGGAUAACGAGGCGAAAGCUUUGCUAAUACCGCAUACGAUCUACGGAUGAAAGCAGGGGACCGCAAGGCCUUGCGCGGACGGAGCGGCCGAUGGCAGAUUAGGUAGUUGGUGGGAUAAAAGCUUACCAAGCCGACGAUCUGUAGCUGGUCUGAGAGGAUGAUCAGCCACACUGGGACUGAGACACGGCCCAGACUCCUACGGGAGGCAGCAGUGGGGAAUUUUGGACAAUGGGCGCAAGCCUGAUCCAGCCAUGCCGCGUGCAGGAUGAAGGCCUUCGGGUUGUAAACUGAUUUUGUACGGAACGAAAAGCCUUCUUUUAAUACAGGAGGGUCAUGACGGUACCGUAAGAAUAAGCACCGGCUAACUACGUG
This 482-nucleotide ribosomal RNA is filed under the name uncultured bacterium. RNAcentral's name for it is "partial 16S ribosomal RNA". It matches the Rfam family "Bacterial small subunit ribosomal RNA", at positions 30 to 507 of the family's 1533-position model. The record is from RNAcentral.